UUCGUAGGCGGUAAUUUAAGUCAGAUGUGAAAGGCGCAGGCUCAACCUGUGUAAGCAUUUGAAACUGGAUUACUUGAGUUAAGGAGAGGAAAGUGGAAUUCCUAGUGUAGCGGUGAAAUGCGUAGAUAUUAGGAGGAAUACCAGUGGCGAAGGCGACUUUCUGGACUUAUACUGACGCUGAGGAACGAAAGCGUGGGGAGCAAACA
This 206-nucleotide ribosomal RNA is filed under the name uncultured Eubacteriales bacterium. RNAcentral describes it as "uncultured Clostridiales bacterium partial 16S ribosomal RNA". It matches the Rfam family "Bacterial small subunit ribosomal RNA", at positions 568 to 774 of the family's 1533-position model. Lineage: Bacteria; Bacillati; Bacillota; Clostridia; Eubacteriales. The record is from RNAcentral.